RNAcentral lists this ribosomal RNA (447 nucleotides) under uncultured Sphingobacteriales bacterium. RNAcentral describes it as "bacterial SSU rRNA". It matches the Rfam family "Bacterial small subunit ribosomal RNA", at positions 934 to 1382 of the family's 1533-position model. Lineage: Bacteria; Pseudomonadati; Bacteroidota; Sphingobacteriia; Sphingobacteriales. The record is from RNAcentral.
GGAACAUGUGGUUUAAUUCGAUGAUACGCGAGGAACCUUACCUGGGCUUAAAUGGGGAGUGACAGCUGUCGAAAGAUGGUUUUCUUCGGACACUCUUCAAGGUGCUGCAUGGUUGUCGUCAGCUCGUGCCGUGAGGUGUCGGGUUAAGUCCCAUAACGAGCGCAACCCUUACCGUUAGUUACCAUCAGGUUAAGCUGGGGACUCUAGCGGGACUGCCACCGUAAGGUGAGAGGAAGGUGGGGAUGACGUCAAAUCAGCACGGCCCUUAUGUCCAGGGCUACACACGUGUUACAAUGGCCAGUACAAAGGGCAGCUACCGGGUGACCGGAUGCUAAUCUCUAAAGCUGGUCCCAGUUCGGAUCGAAGUCUGCAACCCGACCUCGUGAAGCUGGAUUCGCUAGUAAUCGCGCAUCAGCCAUGGCGCGGUCGAAUACGUUCCCGGGCCUU